UACAGAGGAUGCAAGCGUUAUCCGGAAUGAUUGGGCGUAAAGCGUCUGUAGGUGGCUUUUUAAGUCUGCCGUCAAAUCCCAGGGCUUAACCCUGGACAGGCGGUGGAAACUACCAAGCUGGAGUACGGUAGGGGCAGAGGGAAUUUCCGGUGGAGCGGUGAAAUGCGGUAGAGAUCGGAAAGAACACCCGUGGCGAAGGCGGUUCUCUGGGACGGUACUGACGCUGAGACGCGAAAGCGUGGGGAGCGAACAGG
Molecule: ribosomal RNA, 254 nt
Filed under: uncultured bacterium
Lineage: Bacteria
Description: partial 16S ribosomal RNA
Rfam family: Bacterial small subunit ribosomal RNA
Source: RNAcentral